RNAcentral lists this long non-coding RNA (737 nucleotides) under Ananas comosus (pineapple). RNAcentral describes it as "long non-coding RNA (ACOM_LNC015111)". Lineage: Eukaryota; Viridiplantae; Streptophyta; Magnoliopsida; Poales; Bromeliaceae. The record is from RNAcentral.
UAUGUAAUCUUAGUUGUAUUGUUACUAUAGUAGGCAUUGUUAUUAUAGUAGACUUAUCUCUUGUAUUAUAUAAUUUCAUCAAUAGAACUUAAGAGGGUAUGUUCUUUUACCCUUCUUUCAUGGUAUCAGAGAGGGAACCCUAAUUUGGGGAUAUCAAUCUAUAGUUACUAUCCACCACAAGUCUCACCUUCUUCCAUAGGUGCCUUUUCUUUUGGUGUUCUAUCUCCCCUUAUCCUUAGACAUUUUUCUCCCCGGUACUACUACAGUACUGGCGCUACAGUACUGCUACAGUCAUCGUACAGUACUGGUGCUAUAGUACCCUACAGUACCGGCACUACAGUAGUGCUACAGUGGUCAUGCUACAGUAAUUUCAACCUCAUUGAAUUUCUUCUUAUCUCGUUGGUACUGCUUGUUGGUGUCGCCUGUUUAAUCUCAAGUACCGCCGAUUCAUCUCGGGUUCAACUCUAACUCAUUUUUCCUCUUUCCUCUAGAUCUAUGAUUAUUUGGUCUAUUUUUUGGAUUUGUCUCUCUCGCGAUGAAUUUUUUUUUUCUCUUGGUGGUAACAUGUCUUCCUCUUCAAACCUGCUAGUGGUUAACAUCAAAACUUUCAUACCACUUGAACUCACGGGUUCUACAUAUUUAGUGUGGAAAUAAAUCUUUCUUAAUGUUUCGGAGAGUUUUGUUGUUACUUCGCAUGUGGACGGAACUGGUACUAUACCGCCUCAAACUAUUGAAAC